AGGGCACCACCAGGAGUGGAGCCUGCGGCUUAAUUUGACUCAACACGGGAAAACUCACCCGGCCCGGACACUGGAAGGAUUGACAGAUUGGGAGCUCUUUCUUGAUUCAGUGGGUGGUGGUGCAUGGCCGUUCUUAGUUGGUGGAGUGAUUUGUCUGGUUAAUUCCGAUAACGAACGAGACUCUAGCCUACUAAAUAGAUCGUCGGCUUACAAACGCCGGCGAGACUUCUUAGAGGGACAGGCGGUGAUUCAACCGCACGAAACAGAGCAAUAACAGGUCUGUGAUGCCCUUAGAUGUCCGGGGCCGCACGCGCGCUACACUGAAGUGAUCAGCGUGCUUUUUCAACCUACUCUGUCAAGAGUGGGGAACCCAAUGAACCUUCUUCGUGAUUGGGAUAGGGGAUUGUAAUUAUUCCCCUUGAACGAGGAAUUCCCAGUAAGCGCGAGUCAUAAGCUCGCGUUGAUUACGUCCCUGCCCUUUGUACACACCGCCCGUCGCUACUACCGAUUGGAUGUCUU
RNAcentral lists this ribosomal RNA (519 nucleotides) under uncultured eukaryote. RNAcentral's name for it is "SSU rRNA". It matches the Rfam family "Eukaryotic small subunit ribosomal RNA", at positions 1161 to 1699 of the family's 1831-position model. The record is from RNAcentral.